Molecule: ribosomal RNA, 890 nt
Filed under: uncultured archaeon
Lineage: Archaea
Description: bacterial SSU rRNA
Rfam family: Archaeal small subunit ribosomal RNA
Source: RNAcentral
GCGGUUUGGGGAUGACUAAGCAUGCGAGUCAUUGUAGUAAUACAAGGCAGACGGCUCAGUAACGCGUAGUCAAUCUACCCUAUGGACGAGGAUAACCUCGGGAAACUGAGAAUAAUGCCCGAUAGAACAUUAUACCUGGAACGGUUUAUGUUUCAAAUGAUUUAUCGCCGUAGGAUGGGACUGCGGCCUAUCAGUUUGUUGGUGAGGUAAUGGCCCACCAAGACUAUUACAGGUACGGGCUCUGAGAGGAGUAGCCCGGAGAUGGGUACUGAGACACGGACCCAGGCCCUAUGGGGCGCAGCAGGCGAGAAAACUUUGCAAUGUGCGAAAGCACGACAAGGUUAAUCCGAGUGGUUUCUGCUAAAGAAACCUUUUGCUAGUCCUAGAAACACUAGUGAAUAAGGGGUGGGCAAGUUCUGGUGUCAGCCGCCGCGGUAAAACCAGCACCUCAAGUGGUCAGGAUGAUUAUUGGGCCUAAAGCAUCCGUAGCUCGUUUUGUAAGUUUUCGGUUAAAUCCAUACGCUCAACGUAUGGGCUGCCGGGAAUACUGCAUAACUAGGAAGUGGGAGAGGUAGACGGUACUCGGUAGGAAGGGGUAAAAUCCUUUGAUCUAUUGAUGACCACCUGUGGCGAAGGCGGUCUACCAGAACACGUUCGACGGUGAGGGAUGAAAGCUGGGGGAGCAAACCGGAUUAGAUACCCGGGUAGUCCCAGCUGUAAACUAUGCAAACUCAGUGAUGCAUUGGCUUGUGGCCAAUGCAGUGCUGCAGGGAAGCCGUUAAGUUUGCCGCCUGGGAAGUACGUACGCAAGUAUGAAACUUAAAGGAAUUGGCGGGGGAGCACCACAAGGGGUGAAGCCUGCGGUUCAAUUGGAGUCAACGCCGGGAAUC